RNAcentral lists this transfer RNA (96 nucleotides) under Ferribacterium limneticum. Its description in RNAcentral is "tRNA-Sec". It matches the Rfam family "Selenocysteine transfer RNA". RNAcentral also lists the same sequence under 3 other names. Lineage: Bacteria; Pseudomonadati; Pseudomonadota; Betaproteobacteria; Rhodocyclales; Azonexaceae. The record is from RNAcentral.
GGAAGGAAUCGUUCCCCGGUGGGACGGACGGUCUUCAAAACCGUCAGGACCUGUCAAACAGGUUUGGGUAGGUUCGACUCCUGCUUCCUUCCGCCA